This is a long non-coding RNA of Zingiber officinale, 1111 nucleotides long. RefSeq lists it as uncharacterized. Lineage: Eukaryota; Viridiplantae; Streptophyta; Magnoliopsida; Zingiberales; Zingiberaceae. The transcript has 4 exons. The record is from RefSeq and is a predicted model, not a curated record.
CUGUCCUGCUGCUGUUUGAGAGGCAUGUGGAAGAUGAGAGAGCAGUUGAUAAAGCAGACGUAGCUGUGGAGCUGCUUCUGGUAGGCUUAGCGGAAGUAUUCUUCUCUGAUUGAGACACCGAAAACUGCAAACAAAAGAGUUGGUUACUUCAUAUUCUCAAAAAGAAGUCGAAGCUGUCAUUCCCUUCAAUAGUCCUCCGAUGGCUAAUCUUCAAAGAAGCUGUUGCCCACUCCUCUCUCCUACGGUAUGUUGAAUCCUAUGCAUCCACUUCCCUUACUUUUGAUUGACUGUCGCUUAGAAUGUGAUCGUUCAUUCUUCCAUUUCUGACACUUAGUACCGAGGGCACCGAAAUAAUGCAAAUUUAAGCUUUUCAGAUCUGAUAAUGUAAGGGAGGGAAGGGACGGGCAUUGAAUGGAUGAGAAGAAAUCUAUCAAAGUGCAUGUCUGCUACAAUUUCUCCAGCCAGCUGCUUUAUAUAGUGGAUGAUGAUUGUGAAGCUUUAGAGCAAAGCUGAAAUAAGAUCUGUUGAGCUAGGAUGCAAGGCAUAUGAACAAGUCAUAAGGGAGCAGAUGAAGCCUUCUUAAUGAGAUGGGGAUCAGAGAAUUAUUUUUCCCAUCUAAUAGUCAUAAAUUACUUGAGAAUUCAAGUUCAUAUUUAUUGUGUUCUUUUUCAGUGCAUUAUAUUUGAUAGGGUGGAAAAUGGGUGCCAAGAAGGGGCUACCCUCAUGUGCUCAUGAAUGUGGGUCAGAGGAAGCCAUUCAUCUCUCUGAAUGAACUGAAUUCUACAAGUUCUAAAAAGCAAGAAGACAAAGUGAAAUCAAAGGCAUAUGCGGGAGUCCUUGUCAAAUCAAUUCCUCAGGAAGGAACAGAGCAUGGACUUGUCACUCCACAUGGAAAUAACAGAGUCUUGAAGUUGAAGAUCCAACGCCAUGUGCUCAUGGGGCGGACAAGGUGAGUGGGCCAACCGAACGGACUAGGCAAGCCAGUCGAGUGGAGUGAACUAAAAAAGUUUAGUUUCAUUGAACGACAUUAAAAAUCCACAAACAUUGCAUCAAACUCCAAGAAGCUUAUAUUUUCUUUGUUUACUUAAUGUAAAAAUGAUCAUUUUAGUCA